This is a non-coding RNA of Lineolata rhizophorae, 73 nucleotides long. The record is from the annotation of a GenBank genome assembly. Lineage: Eukaryota; Fungi; Ascomycota; Dothideomycetes; Lineolatales; Lineolataceae.
GCUAGGAUAGUUCAAUAGGUUAGAACAUUAAUUUCAUGCAUUAAUAAUGAAAAUUCAAGUCUUUCUCCUAGCU